GUUACCAAGGCAUGCAGUAUAAAAACAGCAGAGGCAUGAAGAGAGGCCAGUUAAGAGAGGUGUGCAGUUUAAGAAAGGAUAUUAUGACCAGAGAGAUCCAAGAUGAGCUGGAUCACCAGAGAGGUCCCGAAAUUUUCCUCCCAAAGAAUGGGCCUAACUGAGAGUAUUGGGAAGAAGAAUAAGAUGAAAGAAGAGAUAGGACUGAUAAUGGAAAAAUGAUGACUGAUAAAAAAAAAAAAGACAGAGCUUCUUAGUUUUUACUUUGUUUCUCUUUUCUUUACCUGUGGAGAUCUGUGAAUUGGAAAGGACAAAAUAAAAAAUGACUGAUU
Long non-coding RNA from Phascolarctos cinereus (koala), 329 nucleotides. RefSeq lists it as uncharacterized. NCBI's taxonomy places the organism in Eukaryota, Metazoa, Chordata, Mammalia, Diprotodontia, Phascolarctidae. The record is from RefSeq and is a predicted model, not a curated record.